This 253-nucleotide ribosomal RNA is filed under the name uncultured bacterium. Its description in RNAcentral is "partial 16S ribosomal RNA". It matches the Rfam family "Bacterial small subunit ribosomal RNA", at positions 524 to 776 of the family's 1533-position model. The record is from RNAcentral.
UACGGAGGGUGCAAGCGUUAUCCGGACUCACUGGGUUUAAAGGGAGCGUAGGUGGACUUUUAAGUCAGUGGUGAAAUCUCUGGGCUUAACCCGGAAACUGCCAUUGAUACUAUUAGUCUUGAAUUCUCUGGAGGUAAGCGGAAUAUGUCAUGUAGCGGUGAAAUGCUUAGAUAUGACAUAGAACACCCAUUGCGAAGGCAGCUUACUACGGAGACAUUGACACUGAGAGACGAUAGCUAGGGGAGCGAAUGGG